This 253-nucleotide unclassified non-coding RNA is filed under the name uncultured Parcubacteria group bacterium. RNAcentral's name for it is "contains 16S-23S intergenic spacer region". It matches the Rfam family "Bacterial small subunit ribosomal RNA", at positions 524 to 776 of the family's 1533-position model. The record is from RNAcentral.
UACAGAAGCCCCGAGCGUUACCCGGAUUCACUGGGCGUAAAGGGUGCGUAGGCGGUUAUGUUAGUCGGGUGUUAAAACCUGGGGCUCAACUCCAGGAUCGCUUCCGAAACGGCAUAACUAGAAGGAGUCAGAGGCAAGCAGAACUCUCGGUGUAGGGGUGAAAUCCGUUGAUAUCGAGGGGAAUACCAAACGCGAAGGCAGCUUGCUGGGACUUUCUUGACGCUGAGGCACGAAAGCGUGGGUAGCGAACGGG